UUUCCGUAGGUGAACCUGCGGAAGGAUCAUUAUUGUAUAACCGAGGUGCGAGGGCUGUCGCUGACCCGAAAGGUCGUGCACGCCCGAGUGCCCUCACACACAUCCAUCUCACCCCUAUUUGCACCACCGCGUGGGUCCCCCUUUGGCUUGUUCGGAGGGGGGCUUACGUUUUCACACAAACUUUGUAUGCAGUGUAGAAUGUAUUUUUUGUUUUUGCGAUCACGCAAUCAAUACAACUUUCAACAACGGAUCUCUUGGCUCUC
Molecule: unclassified non-coding RNA, 263 nt
Filed under: plant metagenome
Description: partial contains small subunit ribosomal RNA, internal transcribed spacer 1, and 5.8S ribosomal RNA
Source: RNAcentral